AAACGCCAAUACAGCAAAGGGUGAAAUCACAACAGGAAAUCCACAGGGAAAAUGUCUAACAAAGAGAUUUUCCUGGGGAAAAGCAACAAGAUGAGGUGUUACCGGUAUAAGAGUAACAAGCUCAGGAAGAAUGAAUAUCUAAGACCGAUAUAAGGGUGAGAGAUAUCAAUCAACCAAACAUCUGAGAAAGACCUGAAAAAG
RNAcentral lists this long non-coding RNA (201 nucleotides) under Lathyrus oleraceus (garden pea). RNAcentral's name for it is "Pisum sativum (pea) long non-coding RNA (PSAT_LNC016117)". The record is from RNAcentral. Lineage: Eukaryota; Viridiplantae; Streptophyta; Magnoliopsida; Fabales; Fabaceae.